RNAcentral lists this ribosomal RNA (216 nucleotides) under Glomeromycotina sp. RNAcentral's name for it is "partial small subunit ribosomal RNA". The stretch from base 47 to 216 matches the Rfam family "Eukaryotic small subunit ribosomal RNA", at positions 693 to 864 of the family's 1831-position model. Lineage: Eukaryota; Fungi; Glomeromycota. The record is from RNAcentral.
GGGUCAGUAGGUUGGUCGUGCCACCGGUACGUACUGGUCUCACUGGUUCCUCCUUCCUGAAGAACCGUAAUGCCAUUAAUUUGGUGUUGCGGGGAAACAGGACUGUUACUUUGAAAAAAUUAGAGUGUUUAAAGCAAGCUAACGCUUGAAUACAUUAGCAUGGAAUAAUGAAAUAGGACGAUCGAUCCUACUUUGCUGGUUUCUAGGAUUGACGUA